Molecule: ribosomal RNA, 474 nt
Filed under: uncultured bacterium
Lineage: Bacteria
Description: partial 16S ribosomal RNA
Rfam family: Bacterial small subunit ribosomal RNA
Source: RNAcentral
GACGAACGCUGGCGGCGUGCUUAACACAUGCCAGUCGAACGGUAAGGCCCUUCGGGGUCCCCGAGUGGCGAACGGGUGAGUAACACGUGGGUAAUCUGCCCUGCACAUCGGGAUAAGCCUGGGAAACUGGGUCUAAUACCGAAUAGGACCACAGGACACAUGUCCUGUGGUGGAAAGCUUUUGCGGUGUGGGAUGGGCCCGCGGCCUAUCAGCUUGUUGGUGGGGUGAUGGCCUACCAAGGCGACGACGGGUAGCCGGCCUGAGAGGGUGUCCGGCCACACUGGGACUGAGAUACGGCCCAGACUCCUACGGGAGGCAGCAGUGGGGAAUAUUGCACAAUGGGCGAAAGCCUGAUGCAGCGACGCCGCGUGGGGGAUGACGGCCUUCGGGUUGUAAACCUCUUUCACCAUCGACGAAGGUCCGGGUUUUCUCGGGCUGACGGUAGGUGGAGAAGAAGCACCGGCCAACUACGUG